This 253-nucleotide ribosomal RNA is filed under the name uncultured bacterium. Its description in RNAcentral is "partial 16S ribosomal RNA". It matches the Rfam family "Bacterial small subunit ribosomal RNA", at positions 524 to 776 of the family's 1533-position model. The record is from RNAcentral.
UACAGGGGGGGCAAGCGUUGUUCGGAAUUACUGGGCGUAAAGGGUUCGUAGGUGGCCAACUAAGUCAGACGUGAAAUCCCCAAGCUUAACUUGGGAACUGCAUCCGAUACUGGAUGGCUUGAAUCCGGGAGAGGGAUGCAGAAUUCCAGGUGUAGCGGUGAAAUGCGUAGAUAUCUGGAGGAAUACCGGUGGCGAAGGCGGCAUCCUGGACCGGCAUUGACGCUGAGGAGCGAAAGCUAGGGGAGCAAACGGG